CAACGGAUAGAUUGUAAAUAAUUCUGUACACACGGAUAGAUUGUUGGUAAUUGAUGAAAUGUUGACAUUUCUGUGAAUACACGGAUAGAUUGUUUGAAUUUCUGAAUAGAUUGCUGGUAUUUCUGUACACACGGAUAUAUAAUUGGUACUUCUGUUAAAUCGAUUGUAAGUACUUAUGAUAGGUCUGUGAUGCUUCUCUAAUGACACAGUACCAGCCCAGUCCCUGGUUUGAGUGAACCCUGUAAGCCCGGGUUCUUUAGGAUAGAUAUGUGGUACCUCUUACAUGACCUUGUAUUAACCCAGUCUAUAACUGUUUAUAGUCCAUGGUUUGAGUGACCCCUGUAAGCCCGGGUUCACAAGGAUCGGUCAGUGGUGUUUCUCUAUCCACACGGACCUCGCCACCAGGAACGACAGUGUCGCCAUCUGUGAACGGCUGGGUGGCGGCAUGGUAGUGCUGGGCAGUGCCGAGAAAGAGAGGGCGCUCACGUCAUAUAUCAUAGAAAAUGACCUUCUCACAAUGACUGACCAGCGUCUGUUUGCAAAGACUUCCUUCAGUACGGAACCAAGAGUAAAAAGUACCGACAUUUUACUAACAACAAGAUUCCUGUAGGUUCCCUUCCCGAGGACCGCGCUAACCUGACCACCCCCGCCGGGUUUACGAUCGCCCUGUACUCCAUCAUUUGCAGACACAGGCAGUGCAGUAAUUAAUCUCAAUGUGACAGAUAAAGAUAAAGCUUAGGAUUUUCUUCCUGUGGAAGGUUAAUUAAUCCCAAAGGACAAAUAUUGCACAGCCUUCCAAGUAUACAAUGGUAACAUUCUCAGCAGUUAUCUCUCUUUGCCCAUUCAUUCUUAUGCAUAGUUAAGGUAUCUACCCCACCACCCCAGCUCCAAACCAGAAGACCUAGAGAACCAAACUUAGCAUCAAAAUAUGUA
This is a long non-coding RNA of Magallana angulata, 933 nucleotides long. RefSeq lists it as uncharacterized. The record is from RefSeq and is a predicted model, not a curated record. The transcript has 4 exons. Lineage: Eukaryota; Metazoa; Mollusca; Bivalvia; Ostreida; Ostreidae.